This 280-nucleotide ribosomal RNA is filed under the name uncultured bacterium. Its description in RNAcentral is "partial 16S ribosomal RNA". It matches the Rfam family "Bacterial small subunit ribosomal RNA", at positions 506 to 784 of the family's 1533-position model. The record is from RNAcentral.
UGCCAGCCGCCGCGGUAAUACGAAGGGGGCGAACGUUAUUCGGAAUUACUGGGCGUAAAGGGUGCGUAGGCGGCCCAUCAAGGUUAGACGUGAAAGCCCCGGGCUCAACCUGGGAAUUGCGUUUAAUACUGGUGAGCUAGAGUACGAGAGAGGAAAGUGGAAUUCCUAGUGUAGAGGUGAAAUUCGUAGAUAUUAGGAAGAACACCAGUGGCGAAGGCGACUUUCUGGCUCGUAACUGACGCUGAGGCACGAAAACGUUGGGAGCAAACAGGAUUAGAUA